GGUUAAGCGACUAAGCGUACACGGUGGAUGCCCUGGCAGUCAGAGGCGAUGAAGGACGUGCUAAUCUGCGAUAAGCGUCGGUAAGGUGAUAUGAACCGUUAUAACCGGCGAUUUCCGAAUGGGGAAACCCAGUGUGAUUCGUCACACUAUCAUUAACUGAAUCCAUAGGUUAAUGAGGCGAACCGGGGGAACUGAAACAUCUAAGUACCCCGAGGAAAAGAAAUCAACCGAGAUUCCCCCAGUAGCGGCGAGCGAACGGGGAGCAGCCCAGAGCCUGAAUCAGUGUGUGUGUUAGUGGAAGCGUCUGGAAAGGCGCGCGAUACAGGGUGACAGCCCCGUACACAAAAAUGCACAUGCUGUGAGCUCGAUGAGUAGGGCGGGACACGUGGUAUCCUGUCUGAAUAUGGGGGGACCAUCCUCCAAGGCUAAAUACUCCUGACUGACCGAUAGUGAACCAGUACCGUGAGGGAAAGGCGAAAAGAACCCCGGCGAGGGGAGUGAAAAAGAACCUGAAACCGUGUACGUACAAGCAGUGGGAGCACGCUUAGGCGUGUGACUGCGUACCUUUUGUAUAAUGGGUCAGCGACUUAUAUUCUGUAGCAAGGUUAACCGAAUAGGGGAGCCGAAGGGAAACCGAGUCUUAACUGGGCGUUAAGUUGCAGGGUAUAGACCCGAAACCCGGUGAUCUAGCCAUGGGCAGGUUGAAGGUUGGGUAACACUAACUGGAGGACCGAACCGACUAAUGUUGAAAAAUUAGCGGAUGACUUGUGGCUGGGGGUGAAAGGCCAAUCAAACCGGGAGAUAGCUGGUUCUCCCCGAAAGCUAUUUAGGUAGCGCCUCGUGAAUUCAUCUCCGGGGGUAGAGCACUGUUUCGGCAAGGGGGUCAUCCCGACUUACCAACCCGAUGCAAACUGCGAAUACCGGAGAAUGUUAUCACGGGAGACACACGGCGGGUGCUAACGUCCGUCGUGAAGAGGGAAACAACCCAGACCGCCAGCUAAGGUCCCAAAGUCAUGGUUAAGUGGGAAACGAUGUGGGAAGGCCCAGACAGCCAGGAUGUUGGCUUAGAAGCAGCCAUCAUUUAAAGAAAGCGUAAUAGCUCACUGGUCGAGUCGGCCUGCGCGGAAGAUGUAACGGGGCUAAACCAUGCACCGAAGCUGCGGCAGCGACACUGUGUGUUGUUGGGUAGGGGAGCGUUCUGUAAGCCUGCGAAGGUGUGCUGUGAGGCAUGCUGGAGGUAUCAGAAGUGCGAAUGCUGACAUAAGUAACGAUAAAGCGGGUGAAAAGCCCGCUCGCCGGAAGACCAAGGGUUCCUGUCCAACGUUAAUCGGGGCAGGGUGAGUCGACCCCUAAGGCGAGGCCGAAAGGCGUAGUCGAUGGGAAACAGGUUAAUAUUCCUGUACUUGGUGUUACUGCGAAGGGGGGACGGAGAAGGCUAUGUUGGCCGGGCGACGGUUGUCCCGGUUUAAGCGUGUAGGCUGGUUUUCCAGGCAAAUCCGGAAAAUCAAGGCUGAGGCGUGAUGACGAGGCACUACGGUGCUGAAGCAACAAAUGCCCUGCUUCCAGGAAAAGCCUCUAAGCAUCAGGUAACAUCAAAUCGUACCCCAAACCGACACAGGUGGUCAGGUAGAGAAUACCAAGGCGCUUGAGAGAACUCGGGUGAAGGAACUAGGCAAAAUGGUGCCGUAACUUCGGGAGAAGGCACGCUGAUACGUAGGUGAAGUCCCUCGCGGAUGGAGCUGAAAUCAGUCGAAGAUACCAGCUGGCUGCAACUGUUUAUUAAAAACACAGCACUGUGCAAACACGAAAGUGGACGUAUACGGUGUGACGCCUGCCCGGUGCCGGAAGGUUAAUUGAUGGGGUCAGCGCAAGCGAAGCUCUUGAUCGAAGCCCCGGUAAACGGCGGCCGUAACUAUAACGGUCCUAAGGUAGCGAAAUUCCUUGUCGGGUAAGUUCCGACCUGCACGAAUGGCGUAAUGAUGGCCAGGCUGUCUCCACCCGAGACUCAGUGAAAUUGAACUCGCUGUGAAGAUGCAGUGUACCCGCGGCAAGACGGAAAGACCCCGUGAACCUUUACUAUAGCUUGACACUGAACAUUGAGCCUUGAUGUGUAGGAUAGGUGGGAGGCUUUGAAGUGUGGACGCCAGUCUGCAUGGAGCCGACCUUGAAAUACCACCCUUUAAUGUUUGAUGUUCUAACGUUGACCCGUAAUCCGGGUUGCGGACAGUGUCUGGUGGGUAGUUUGACUGGGGCGGUCUCCUCCUAAAGAGUAACGGAGGAGCACGAAGGUUGGCUAAUCCUGGUCGGACAUCAGGAGGUUAGUGCAAUGGCAUAAGCCAGCUUGACUGCGAGCGUGACGGCGCGAGCAGGUGCGAAAGCAGGUCAUAGUGAUCCGGUGGUUCUGAAUGGAAGGGCCAUCGCUCAACGGAUAAAAGGUACUCCGGGGAUAACAGGCUGAUACCGCCCAAGAGUUCAUAUCGACGGCGGUGUUUGGCACCUCGAUGUCGGCUCAUCACAUCCUGGGGCUGAAGUAGGUCCCAAGGGUAUGGCUGUUCGCCAUUUAAAGUGGUACGCGAGCUGGGUUUAGAACGUCGUGAGACAGUUCGGUCCCUAUCUGCCGUGGGCGCUGGAGAACUGAGGGGGGCUGCUCCUAGUACGAGAGGACCGGAGUGGACGCAUCACUGGUGUUCGGGUUGUCAUGCCAAUGGCACUGCCCGGUAGCUAAAUGCGGAAGAGAUAAGUGCUGAAAGCAUCUAAGCACGAAACUUGCCCCGAGAUGAGUUCUCCCUGACUCCUUGAGAGUCCUGAAGGAACGUUGAAGACGACGACGUUGAUAGGCCGGAUGUGUAAGCGCAGCGAUGCGUUGAGCUAACCGGUACUAAUGAACCGUGAGGCUUAACCUU
RNAcentral lists this ribosomal RNA (2903 nucleotides) under Escherichia coli. RNAcentral's name for it is "23S ribosomal RNA". It matches the Rfam family "Bacterial large subunit ribosomal RNA". Lineage: Bacteria; Pseudomonadati; Pseudomonadota; Gammaproteobacteria; Enterobacterales; Enterobacteriaceae. The record is from RNAcentral.